AAAAAAAAAUAUUCAAUGAAUGAGGAGCAGAUUUGCAGCAUUAUUAAUGCUUGAGAACAGGCAUCUUGAGAUUCUUGAAUAAACCAAUAUGAUCCAGAAUUGAAAUGUUUCUAUAGCUUUUAUAUAUUUUUUUAUACAGCAAAUCCACACGCCCAUAAAAUUUCUUCCUCUGCCUUUUCCAUCUCUCAAACUCAUCUUCUUUAAGGGUGAUGUAAUCAUGUGAAAUGAUCCCAAAAUCAUGGUCACUCAAAUCAAACUCAACACAGUUCUCAUAAUUCCUGUAUUUUUCAUGAGCACCCAAAUCAAACUCACCAUAAUUUCCAUAGUUCCUGUAUUGUUUUUUCCCACCAACUUUCUUUUUGUGUUGCUCAAUUAUUUUAGUAGCAAGAACAUGUGCUUUACGUUCAUAAACCAUAACAGAUUUAGGAAGAGAACUUCGAUCAAUUGUAGUCCCUUGGUUACUCUUCUUACUUUUGAAAUUUUCAUGAUGCCCCAGUUUUGGUAACUGAAUCAUGGGUAUAUUCAAAAAAUCAGAUUUGUCUCCCGUAAGCUUAGGGGAAUCCGAUUGGGAAUUAGAUGGAGCGGAAGGAGGGAACAAAAUAUUAAUAAAAGUUGUAAGUUUAGUAUCUGGCUCGGCAUCAUUCCUGAUUGUUGCCAUAGUUACCUUCUGCAACCUUGCCAGUGAAUAAGCCUUUGAAAGUGUCCUUGGCUUAAACAUUCUGACUGGCAAUUGCAACUCAUCAACCAGUCCAGAGAGGAAAAAAUUCAAUGCUUUCUCUUUCUUGAAUUCUAGCUUUUGAAUACAACUGGUUAAAGGAAUUCCAAUAAUCUUGCAAGGUAAAUUCUUGUUUCAAAUUCUUUAAAUCCUCUAAUGGAUCUUCCCUUGCUUUUGUGGAUU
RNAcentral lists this unclassified non-coding RNA (898 nucleotides) under Hevea brasiliensis (rubber tree). The record is from RNAcentral. Lineage: Eukaryota; Viridiplantae; Streptophyta; Magnoliopsida; Malpighiales; Euphorbiaceae.